RNA transcript from Pyrus x bretschneideri (Chinese white pear), 1519 nucleotides. It is a transcript of the gene named protein HIGH CHLOROPHYLL FLUORESCENCE PHENOTYPE 173, chloroplastic, with no coding region annotated. NCBI's taxonomy places the organism in Eukaryota, Viridiplantae, Streptophyta, Magnoliopsida, Rosales, Rosaceae. The transcript is spliced from 4 exons. The record is from RefSeq and is a predicted model, not a curated record.
ACUGCAACACACAGCAGCAGCGAUGGGGGAGGAGAAGCGGCACCAGGUGAUGUAGAACCUAUUCGGUGAUCAAUCUGAAGAGGAAGAGGAAGAGGUGGAUUCCGAGCAUGAGUCCAAUCCGCAGCCCAGUUUUGUAUGAUCCUCUAAUUUCAAGUUUCCUUUCUAUUCUGAUUCCAAAAGCAUGUUUGCGAAUGAGUAGGGUUUCAAUUUGUUCUGUAAUCUUAGCCGAAGGAAGAUAUAGGUUGUGCUUUUGUUAAUGGCGGUGGAUGAUUUGGAUGAAAGUAUGUAUCUUGGGGAUUUUUUUUUGCUUGCAGUUGUUUAGGCCUGGACUGAAGAAGUUUUGUGGAAUGAGAUUCUUAUGAGUAGUCAAUUUUAGUGGGAUUGUUGUUUCAAUCUGGAUAAAGAAUGAUGUCGUUUUCCUAUUCGGUCUGUCCUUUGAUGGUGUAGCAGAUCUGGAAUUUUGUGAAAUGCUCUUUCUGAUUAGAAAUAUAGAAUUGGUUUUAAAUUAUUUUCUUAACUGUUUGGUUCUGAUGUGCUUUACCGAUAAAUCAAGGGUUUGCAAGAUAUUUUUUUGUUGUUCUCUUUAAAUGGUGGGUGUUAUCAUUCUCUCUUUUUUCAUAUCUGUCUUGCCAUUGACUGGGGAUGUGGGUGAUACUGCUACCCUGUACGCCGCAGUACAGGGCUGUAACAAGAUUAUCUAUUGUGCUACUGCACUUUCUACUAUCAGCGGAGACCUCUACAGGGUUGAUCAAAGAGGGGUCUUCAAUCUUACUAAAGCAUUUCAGGACUACAACAACAAAAUGGCGCAAUUACGAGCUGGAAAGAGUAGCAAGAGCAAACUUACAAUUGUAAAGUUCAAGACUUCGGAGUCAGUGGAUGGAUGGGAAGUUUGUCAUGGGACUUCCUUUCAGGAUGCGGUUGCUUCUAAGUAUGAUGGAGGAAUGGAUGCCAAGUUCGAAUGCACUUUCACCGGAGAUGCUGUUUCCUCCUGCAAGAGAAAGACUAAAGUGGGGUUUUGAGGUUCUAGAUGGAAACCAACUAUUAUUCCUUUUACUCUAUUUCUUGCUGCAUUGUAGGAUAUGUUUUCACCAGAUGAGGAAAAUCAUUGGCAACAGAAAUUACCUGAUGAAUUUGCCGCGCAGCUGCAACAUUCUAGCAACAUUUCGUGAAUUUGAGAAGCAGCUGUGCAAGUUCAGUGGAUGAUGCGAUCUGGGCUGCUGAAAAUGCCACAUUGAAAGCUGAGAUGAGUGGAAAGAAGCUAAUGCACUCAUGGAACAACUUAAGCUCAACCCUCAGCUUCAGACGUUUCAAGCGUGGCUUUGGGAUUCUGCAACUGUGAGUAUACACUCUUUCCCGGGUUUAAGGACUAUCAAGGUGCUUAGGAUUUGCGUUCGGUGUUUGAAUUAAAUAACUUUGGGUUAAACCAUUCUGUAAUAUCAGUAGGUUUGUUUUAGGUAUCUUAUGGUUUUAGAAUUGCCUGUGUACAAAGGAUUAUUAUGGCAACGAGAUCAUGUUGCUC